GCCGCCAUAGCUCAGCUGGUAGAGCAACUGAUUUGUAAUCAGUAGGUCCCGAGUUCGAUCCUUGGUGGCGGCACCA
This 76-nucleotide transfer RNA is filed under the name Pseudomonadales bacterium. RNAcentral describes it as "tRNA-Thr". It matches the Rfam family "tRNA". From Rfam's summary of the family: Transfer RNA (tRNA) molecules are approximately 80 nucleotides in length. Their secondary structure includes four short double-helical elements and three loops (D, anti-codon, and T loops). The record is from RNAcentral. Lineage: Bacteria; Pseudomonadati; Pseudomonadota; Gammaproteobacteria; Pseudomonadales. RNAcentral also lists the same sequence under 1 other name.